Molecule: ribosomal RNA, 301 nt
Filed under: uncultured bacterium
Lineage: Bacteria
Description: partial 16S ribosomal RNA
Rfam family: Bacterial small subunit ribosomal RNA
Source: RNAcentral
CAGUAGCCGCGGGAAUACGUAGGUGGCAAGCGUUGUCCGGAAUUAUUGGGCGUAAAGGGCUCGCAGGCGGUUUCUUAAGUCUGAUGUGAAAGCCCCCGGCUCAACCGGGGAGGGUCAUUGGAAACUGGGAAACUUGAGUGCUGAAGAGGGGAGUGGAAUUCCACGUGUAGCGGUGAAAUGCGUAGAGAUGUGGAGGAACACCAGUGGCGAAGGCGACUCUCUGGUCUGUAACUGACGCUGAGGAGCGAAAGCGUGAGGAGCGAACAGGAUUAGAUACCCGAGUAGUCCCUGUCUCUUAUAC